UCCAUUCACAUCGUACUAGGAUAACUUUUUCAAUAUAGGGGGUAAACCCUAUAUCAAGACAAUCUUAUAUCAGCCCGAUGCGAACUUUUAAUCAUUCUAAUUUCAGAUCUAAUCAUAAAAUUAACAUCUGAUUUUAGAUCUAAAAGAUUGAUUUUAGAUUAUGAAAAUAUUUUUCAAAAAUAAUCAAUCUUGUACUAGUAUAAUCUUCACAAUAUAGGGUGCAACACCCUAUACUAGGACAACCAAAUUUCAGCACA
This 257-nucleotide long non-coding RNA is filed under the name Elaeis guineensis (African oil palm). RNAcentral's name for it is "long non-coding RNA (EGUI_LNC064854)". Lineage: Eukaryota; Viridiplantae; Streptophyta; Magnoliopsida; Arecales; Arecaceae. The record is from RNAcentral.